GCAGAGCAGAAGAGCAUGAAUAAAUCCUGUUGCCAAAGCAAAGUAAUUUGUAGAGAUCACAGCAGGUUCCUAGGCCAUGGUUGUGUAAGUCUGAAUUGAAUCCUGAGUCAUGGGUGUAGCCUCUAUUAUGUGCAGCAGGUAGAACAUUCUCCAGCCUGUAGAGAGCUGCCAGCGUGAUGAGGCCUACACCACCAAUGUUGCACAUAAAGAUCAACUGUGAAGCUCCUCGGGGUGCUCCUGAUUUAGAGGCUUCAGAGCUAAAGGAGACAAGUCACACUGGCCUGGAGUUCAUCAAAUUAACCCAAACAACUGUAUGAGUCUGUGAAAUUGGGCCCACACCUGAUCGUGCAGGAAUUCUAUUCAGUGUAACUCAUCUGAUCUAAACACAGUUACUCCUAAAGUGACAGAACAAAGCCACAAUUGGUAUGAGUGAGCGACCAGAG
Long non-coding RNA from Pezoporus flaviventris, 443 nucleotides. RefSeq lists it as uncharacterized. The transcript has 3 exons. NCBI's taxonomy places the organism in Eukaryota, Metazoa, Chordata, Aves, Psittaciformes, Psittacidae. The record is from RefSeq and is a predicted model, not a curated record.